RNAcentral lists this ribosomal RNA (381 nucleotides) under uncultured eukaryote. Its description in RNAcentral is "partial 18S ribosomal RNA". It matches the Rfam family "Eukaryotic small subunit ribosomal RNA", at positions 592 to 976 of the family's 1831-position model. The record is from RNAcentral.
CAAUAGCGUAUAUUAAAGUUGUUGCGGUAAAAAAGCUCGUAGUUGGAUUUCUACCGAAGAUAGCCGGUCGGGUCUUCGACCUUGCAUCUGGUUUUGUCUUUGGUAUCCUCAUAGGGAACGUUUCUGCGCUUUAUUGCGUGGUGCGGUAUCUAUGACUUUUACUUUGAGGAAAUUAGAGUGUUCACGGCAGGCAAACGCCUUGAAUAUAUUAGCAUGGAAUAAUAACAUAGGAUCUUCGUCCUAUUUUGUUGGUUUCUAGGGCUAAGAUAAUGAUUAAUAGGGAUAAUUGGGGGCAUCUGUAUCAACGCGUCAGAGGUGGAAUUCUUGGAUUGCGUUGCGACAAACUACUGCGAAAGCAUUUGCCAAGGAUGUUUUCAUUGA